This 992-nucleotide ribosomal RNA is filed under the name uncultured bacterium. RNAcentral's name for it is "bacterial SSU rRNA". It matches the Rfam family "Bacterial small subunit ribosomal RNA", at positions 488 to 1476 of the family's 1533-position model. The record is from RNAcentral.
AGCACCGGCUUAACUACGUGCCAGCAGCCGCGGUUGAUACGUAGGGUGCGAGCGUUGUCCGGAUUUAUUGGCGUAAAGGGCUCGUAGGUGGUUGAUCGCGUCGGAAGUGUAAUCUUGGGGCUUAAACCCUGAGCGUGCUUUCGAUACGGGUUGACUUGAGGAAGGUAGGGGAGAAUGGAAUUCCUGGUGGAGCGGUGGAAUGCGCAGAUAUCAGGAGGAACACCAGUGGCGAAGGCGGUUCUCUGGGCCUUUCCUGACGCUGAGGAGCGAAAGCGUGGGGAGCGAACAGGCUUAGAUACCCUGGUAGUCCACGCUGUAAACGGUGGGUACUAGGUGUGGGGUCCAUUCCACGGGUUCCGUGCCGUAGCUAACGCUUUAAGUACCCCGCCUGGGGAGUACGGCCGCAAGGCUAAAACUCAAAGGAAUUGACGGGGCCCCGCACAAGCGGCGGAGCAUGCGGAUUAAUUCGAUGCAACGCGUAGAACCUUACCUGGGUUUGACAUGGAUCGGGAGCGCUCAGAGAUGGGUGUGCCUCUUUUGGGGUCGGUUCACAGGUGGUGCAUGGCUGUCGUCAGCUCGUGUCGUGAGAUGUUGGGUUAAGUCCCGCAACGAGCGCAACCCUUGUUCACUGUUGCCAGCACGUUAUGGUGGGGACUCAGUGGAGACCGCCGGGGUCAACUCGGAGGAAGGUGGGGAUGACGUCAAGUCAUCAUGCCCCUUAUGUCCAGGGCUUCACGCAUGCUACAAUGGCUGGUACAGAGAGUGGCGAGCCUGUGAGGGUGAGCGAAUCUCGGAAAGCCGGUCUCAGUUCGGAUUGGGGUCUGCAACUCGACCUCAUGAAGUCGGAGUCGCUAGUAAUCGCAGAUCAGCAACGCUGCGGUGAAUACGUUCCCGGGGCUUGUACACACCGCCCGUCAAGUCAUGAAAGUUGGUAACACCCGAAGCCGGUGGCCUAACCGUUGUGGGGAGCCGUCGAAGUGGACUUGAUUUCC